ACGAGGCACUACGGUGCUGAAGCAACAAAUGCCCUGCUUCCAGGAAAAGCCUCUAAGCAUCAGGUAACAUCAAAUCGUACCCCAAACCGACACAGGUGGUCAGGUAGAGAAUACCAAGGCGCUUGAGAGAACUCGGGUGAAGGAACUAGGCAAAAUGGUGCCGUAACUUCGGGAGAAGGCACGCUGACAUGUAGGUGAAGUGAUUUACUCAUGGAGCUGAAGUCAGUCGAAGAUACCAGCUGGCUGCAACUGUUUAUUAAAAACACAGCACUGUGCAAACACGAAAGUGGACGUAUACGGUGUGACGCCUGCCCGGUGCCGGAAGGUUAAUUGAUGGGGUCAGCGCAAGCGAAGCUCCUGAUCGAAGCCCCGGUAAACGGCGGCCGUAACUAUAACGGUCCUAAGGUAGCGAAAUUCCUUGUCGGGUAAGUUCCGACCUGCACGAAUGGCGUAAUGAUGGCCAGGCUGUCUCCACCCGAGACUCAGUGAAAUUGAACUCGCUGUGAAGAUGCAGUGUACCCGCGGCAAGACGGAAAGACCCCGUGAACCUUUACUAUAGCUUGACACUGAACAUUGAGCCUUGAUGUGUAGGAUAGGUGGGAGGCUUUGAAGUGUGGACGCCAGUCUGCAUGGAGCCGACCUUGAAAUACCACCCUUUAAUGUUUGAUGUUCUAACGUGGACCCGUGAUCCGGGUUGCGGACAGUGUCUGGUGGGUAGUUUGACUGGGGCGGUCUCCUCCUAAAGAGUAACGGAGGAGCACGAAGGUUGGCUAAUCCUGGUCGGACAUCAGGAGGUUAGUGCAAUGGCAUAAGCCAGCUUGACUGCGAGCGUGACGGCGCGAGCAGGUGCGAAAGCAGGUCAUAGUGAUCCGGUGGUUCUGAAUGGAAGGGCCAUCGCUCAACGGAUAAAAGGUACUCCGGGGAUAACAGGCUGAUACCGCCCAAGAGUUCAUAUCGACGGCGGUGUUUGGCACCUCGAUGUCGGCUCAUCACAUCCUGGGGCUGAAGUAGGUCCCAAGGGUAUGGCUGUUCGCCAUUUAAAGUGGUACGCGAGCUGGGUUUAGAACGUCGUGAGACAGUUCGGUCCCUAUCUGCCGUGGGCGCUGGAGAACUGAGGGGGGCUGCUCCUAGUACGAGAGGACCGGAGUGGACGCAUCACUGGUGUUCGGGUUGUCAUGCCAAUGGCACUGCCCGGUAGCUAAAUGCGGAAGAGAUAAGUGCUGAAAGCAUCUAAGCACGAAACUUGCCCCGAGAUGAGUUCUCCCUGAGACUUUAAGUCUCCUGAAGGAACGUUGAAGACGACGACGUUGAUAGGCCGGGUGUGUAAGCGCAGCGAUGCGUUGAGCUAACCGGUACUAAUGAACCGUGAGGCUUAACC
Molecule: ribosomal RNA, 1378 nt
Filed under: Salmonella enterica subsp. enterica serovar Havana
Lineage: Bacteria; Pseudomonadati; Pseudomonadota; Gammaproteobacteria; Enterobacterales; Enterobacteriaceae
Description: bacterial LSU rRNA
Rfam family: Bacterial large subunit ribosomal RNA
Source: RNAcentral